ACCAGUGAAUAAAAUUUCCUCCACUUUACGCACUGGCAACUUAAAGCAAGAUGUCUUAUCUACGAUCUCAGUUGGUAAGGAAGGAACUGGAUUGGCUUCUAGACUAGCAUGUUCUACAUUAAAGACCAGUAUCUCAACAAAUAAGUGCAGCCCAUAGACCAGUGUUUGGCAUUUGCCUUUACUUUAUAAAAAUACACAACUUAAAUACAUAUGACACUCUCUAUACAAGACAUAAACAGCUGUUAGAUUUAACAUUUUCCGUUAGUUCAACAGAAAGCAAGUAUGUAAAUUACUUCGUAAGAGCAAAGGGUUUCUUUAGAGACUGUGCAUUCCCGGCCCAAGGGCAGACCACCCCGCAGGCCAUCGAUGCAGGAAGCUCACCCAAACUGUCCAACUUUCCAGCGAGUCAUUUCACCAACAUGGCCUUUAUUGCACGGCUUCCUAUUGCACUGCUUGUCAGACAUAAUCUAACUUACCCACACCACAAGUUUAAGCUUUCGUCUUCUCUAGAAAUGCUUAAUGGAAAAACCAACGUAUAAACAGUAUUAACUGUCUCCUACAAUUGUGCUAAGUACCAAUCAUGAGAAAUAUGAACCCCUCUUCACUUUGCAAAACUUGCAAUGGAAGGUGGUUAGCUGUAUUUCGCUGCUAAAUUCCUCUGCAAAAGUUUUACAAAAACGUUGGCAGACUCAGAGUGAGCUAUGUGGAGUGUGGUGGAGAGAGACUGACAUCCCAGGGUGCACUGAAAUUGCUUAUAGGACAGGCACUGUUCCUGUCAAAGGCAAUGUGCGCACGGCCCUACCCUUUCGAACUUGAGACCAAAAUACCUCCCUCCCCCUUGAGAUUCUGUCAUUGUUCUAUGAGGAACAGCUACCUCAUUACUGAUUCAGAGCUUACAGGGCUGCCCACUUACUGUGGCUUUCUUUCAGAAAUUUAGCUGCCUUAUCUAUGGCUCAUUUAGCGAACAGUGAAUUAGGUACUAAUUUAUCAGUAUAAAGAAAUAUUUACCAGUUGAGAAUUCAAUGUGAAAAAAAAACAUACUAGAGUGAGUUUCCUGAGGUAAAUGUAAGCCUUAAAGAAGAGAGUGCAAUCUACAGAAUUACAGCAAUUUAUCUUGGGUAGCACCACAAUACCCCCAAGUCUGGACUUUACCGAGCACAAAUUUAUGUGAAGAAAUAAAAUGAUAAUGCUGAAGUAAAAGAAAUGUUGACAGUUGAGAAUAUCAAUUCAAAAGGAGGCAGGAAAGAGGAACAGAGGAACAAAAGGAGGGUAUAUUUUAAAGUUCUUAGGUAGGUUGGACAAUUAAUUUCAAAAGCCUCCAGGUAUUUCUAACAAGUUUUAAAAGUGUUAAUUCUUGGUGACUCAAAUGCAGAAGAAAUGGCUUUUCUUGAAUAAUAGCUGUUCGAACUUUUUCUUUUUUUGAAAAACAUGACUUUCUAUAAAAAUUUUUUUAGCCAUUGAAAUUAUUCUCCUAGUUAUUACUCUCACUGAUGUAUUGUGCAAUCCUAACUGGCUGAAGAAUUUUAAUAAGGUUGAACUACAAAGUACAUAUUUGCACCAAGAAUUUAAAUUAAUGCACAGAGGUCUGUAAAAUUUUGUAUGAAGUUACUUUUCAUUGCCGAUCAGGCUUCAUUACUUCUUGAUAUUCUACUCAAGGAUUACGGAAAUCAGAAAAAUUCUAGGACCCUGAAGCUUAACUUUCUUUUACAUAAAUGAAGUAGUACAUGGCCAUCCUUAACAUUAAUAAUCAAGGUGCUGGGAACUGAGCCUCAAGACCUACGAAUCAAGAUCAGGCUAAAUUUCAACAAGUCACUCAUUAUAUAAGGAUAUGAAUGGAAGCACUAAAGAUCUCUCUCUGCUAUAACUGCUCAUCUGCACCAUGUAGUUGAAUAAGGUGACCAAUCUAGUGUUUAAUAACAACAAUGAAAACUGGCACCAGUUUUUACCCAGGGCCACAUACUCAGUCAUGAGUAUGUCAUGUCAAUUUGGGCUGAUACCACCAUGCACAGUCCCUCAUAAAUAUGACCCUCCUAAGUCCUGCUGUAAGAACAGAUCUAUGUUUAAUUACUUUAGGCAUGAUGAAGGCCUUAAGCAAAAUUUAGGCCCCGAAGAACUUUGGGCUGGAAUUCUACAGGCCCAGAGCUAGUUAGAAUUAAAAGGCCAGAGGAAAAUCCCACAAGAAAUCAUACUCGUAUCUCAAUUUAUAG
This is a long non-coding RNA of Balaenoptera musculus (blue whale), 2207 nucleotides long. RefSeq lists it as uncharacterized. NCBI's taxonomy places the organism in Eukaryota, Metazoa, Chordata, Mammalia, Artiodactyla, Balaenopteridae. The transcript is spliced from 2 exons. The record is from RefSeq and is a predicted model, not a curated record.